AUGAUAUUUUCACAGUAUUUUGCAAUCAAGGCAGCAGCUGUAAAACCAAUGAAAAGUAGUCUUCACCUCCAUCAGAACCAUGAAGUUCAAGGAUCGUGUUGCUCCAUUUGUGUCAACGAUGUUGGAAAACCAUUGAAGAGAGUGUGACAAACGACCAGUUUGAGUGAGGCCAUUAACUGGACAUGUAAAAGGAAACUGGACACCUAGGUGGUUUACUGUCGGGAAACCAGUGCUUCCAGGGCUCUGCCACAGACAUGACAGGCGACCUUCGCAAGCUGAACUACGACCCCUGGAGCAGUCAAUUACAGCACCUUCUAAUGGCCUGUCGGCACUAAUGUUAUUUUAUUGCAAUUUAAUUAUGCUCGGGUUUCCAGUGAAGCCACUUCCUUUUAAAUAAUUCACAUGGGGUGACAAUAAUUUGUCAGUUUGAGAAAGAUUAAUUAGAGUUCUGAAAGUACACCUCUUGUUGAGUGUUAUUGUUCCUUUAGCACCACACUUCAGAAUUAUUCGUAGCAACUAAUUACCACAGUGAUUAAAAAGGCCUCUGAAAUAUAACGCAGAAAGAUUGGCUGUGCAUGAAACCAUGAAGCAGUCCUAUUUUUCUUUGUAUUCAUAUCGUGGGGUAAGCCAGGUAGUAAUGGAUAUCUCAUUGUUGUGAUCACAGGUGGUCACAUGUAAUUCAAAUGUUGUCUGAUGGUAGAUGUUACCACACUGCGACGGAUUGUGAGCAAACAGUGUACUGUAACAUGAUGCAUAGAGAUCGAAAGGGGACUGUGAUGUGUAAUGAUAUUGUCAUUGUUUAAAAUAUUUAUCAGUUUUAUUGGUGCACAGUACAUAGCAUAAAGAUUGUAAUGCAUUACUAUUUGUCACU
This is a long non-coding RNA of Clupea harengus (Atlantic herring), 871 nucleotides long. RefSeq lists it as uncharacterized. NCBI's taxonomy places the organism in Eukaryota, Metazoa, Chordata, Actinopteri, Clupeiformes, Clupeidae. The transcript has 3 exons. The record is from RefSeq and is a predicted model, not a curated record.